CAAUGCAAGAUGCCCAGAGAAGUAUUUAUGAUUAAAUUGUUAGAAGAAGAAUUUGGGGGUUCCACGAACCAGAGUGACAAGAACAAAUAAAAAAAAAAUCCAGACAUACUGUGAGAAAGGAGAUCCAUUUAUUCCCAAGAAUAAAGAGAUUUGUUUUAGGGGUAGACUACAGAGAAAAUUGGGUCCAGAGACUUUUUAUCUGUGGUGUGGGCUUGAGGGUAUGGUUUGUGUAUGUGCUGUUUUUAGUGUAUCCUUCCUGUGGAGAUUGAGGUACUCCUGCCCCGGGCUUUGUCUCUGAGGUACAUGUAAAAUCCAGAAAGGAAGAUCACCCUUGCCCUCCAAUAUGUAGAUUCCUCCAUAUGUUUGGAUUUAUUAUGAGGGGAACUGGCGUCUUCUUUAUCUGAGAGAAUUCUUGUUCUUUGAUGGUAGGAAAGGAGGCAGAUGAGAUGACCUUUUAAUUUCCAACAAAGUUUAUGCAACUUUUAUUCCUGAAGGAAGCAUUAAUAUGUGCUCAGACCUCUUAUACACAACUAAUACCAAUACCAUAAAAAUACACUGAAAAAAGCAUUAGCAAAGACAGGGAAAUACGCAGAAGUUUUCUAUCUAACUUCUGGCUAAGAAACGGCGAACUGAGAAGAGCCAAUAACUUUGGCAGAAUGAUGGGCUGGCGAGCAGACCAGCUCUUCAUAGUUCUUCUCCAAAUAAGGAGAGGACUUGAGAUUGUUCACAAGUGCUUCACAGAGUUGUUACUCAUGAGGAGGCCACUUAAGAGCAAUCUUCAGCAGGCUUAAAUAUCUGUAAGGUUCUGAGACCAUGAUCAAGACACCAAUCAAAAUAGUUUGUUGCAGCAGCAGCAGCAGCACCUUGGAUAAAGAAUAAUUAUCUGGAGAUAAAAAAAAAAUGUGGAGCCUACUUUUUUACUUUCUUAGUGCUAGGACACCUGCCAUGGCCCUGAUUUUUAGAGUCAGAUUCUGAGUCUGAAGCUGAUGAAACUGUUCCAAAUGAGCCUCUGGAAUUUAGCUUCAGGAAGGACAAUUCCAGAUACCACAUGAGGUUGAUCAAUUACAAAUGCCACCUGAACAGCUGGAUCCAUCAGAAGGAGGAUGACUUAAGAUUUACCAGUCCCUGCACUAGAGAGCAGGAAGGAGAGCAGAACAGAGGAAGUUUAUAACAUCUUCAUCAAUGAUUUGGAUGAGAGGACAGAUGGGGAUAGAUGGGGAACUCAUC
Long non-coding RNA from Crotalus tigris (Tiger rattlesnake), 1227 nucleotides. RefSeq lists it as uncharacterized. The record is from RefSeq and is a predicted model, not a curated record. Lineage: Eukaryota; Metazoa; Chordata; Lepidosauria; Squamata; Viperidae. The transcript is spliced from 3 exons.